UAUUAUGCCAUGAUAUUGUGUCAACAUGCGAUGAUGUGUGUGAUGGCACAGCGUCAUCACAUGGUGAUGCAACAUCAUGACGUAAGA
RNAcentral lists this microRNA precursor (87 nucleotides) under Pteropus alecto (black flying fox). RNAcentral's name for it is "mir-592 microRNA precursor family". It matches the Rfam family "mir-592 microRNA precursor family". The record is from Rfam by way of RNAcentral. Lineage: Eukaryota; Metazoa; Chordata; Mammalia; Chiroptera; Pteropodidae. RNAcentral also lists the same sequence under 2 other names.